ACAUGAAAAAUCAUCGUUGUUAUUCAACUAUGAGAACCCUA
Molecule: transfer RNA, 41 nt
Filed under: Arctocephalus forsteri (New Zealand fur seal)
Lineage: Eukaryota; Metazoa; Chordata; Mammalia; Carnivora; Otariidae
Description: partial tRNA-Glu
Source: RNAcentral